GUGCGAUUUUGCUAAAAUGCAUCAUCAACAGCGGAUGGCAGCUUUGGGAACAGACAAGGAACUGAGUGACUUACUGGAUUUCAGCGCGAUGCGAAACAGCGAUUUGAAAAUGUUCCCAACAUCCAUGAUGUUUUCCCCUCCUGUUAGCAGUGGAAAGAACGGGCCGACC
Long non-coding RNA from Seriola dumerili (greater amberjack), 169 nucleotides. RefSeq lists it as uncharacterized. Lineage: Eukaryota; Metazoa; Chordata; Actinopteri; Carangiformes; Carangidae. The transcript has 3 exons. The record is from RefSeq and is a predicted model, not a curated record.